AGCAUUGUUGUUGUUGUUGUUGUUGUUGUUCUUCAUAUUUUUUCUAAGGCUAUAUGCAGUCAGAGACUAUGACAGCCUUCACCUCUAGCAUUGCCAGGUAGCUUGAGGAUGAUGUUUAUUCUCACACAGAUUGAUUGGAUAUUGAGCAGGCAGGUUGAUAGAUAGGUAGCAUUCUAUAUUUUAUUGACAAUCGAUCGGAUAUCAAGCCGGUAGAUAUGCAGGUUGACAGACAAUUCAGAGGUAAGAAUAGAGGAUAUCUAAGUCAGGUGUGAACUAGUGUUGAACUCAAGUCUACACAACACAAAGAGAAUGGAAGAUUAUUCAGUUCUGAAAAUGUUCUCUACAAAGUGUAGAUCAAUAAACUUCAAGCAACUUUUGUUAAUCCCCCUCAGAGCUUUGUAUGAUUCUUAGAGACUUCGCUUCGCUCCGUUUAAUAAUAGGGAC
RNAcentral lists this small RNA (444 nucleotides) under Histoplasma capsulatum var. duboisii H88. RNAcentral's name for it is "Histoplasma capsulatum H88 hypothetical RNA". The record is from RNAcentral. Lineage: Eukaryota; Fungi; Ascomycota; Eurotiomycetes; Onygenales; Ajellomycetaceae.